GUUAGUCAAAUUAAAUAAUUGUUCCCGCCCGUCGAGUUAGAAGGACAAAGUGAGUCAACCAAGAAAACUCUAAGUGAACUGCGGUCCGAAAAGAUAGGUUUUCACAACGUAAAAGCACUUAACUCUAUUACAAUCAAAAUAUCCGAAAUAUUUUGUAAGACGCAGAGCCGUUGGUGAUGUUUCUGUUGUAGCCUGUCUGCUAGCAGCAGAUAAACAACUAGUCUGCGCCUAAAUAAGCUAGCACAGACUGGCAGAGCUAGCAUCAUUAGCUGGGGACUGAAGCUAAUUCAGAGCAAGGUCAACGAAUUAACGUCAGUUGAAGAUGGACACGACAGAUUCACACUCGCAGUGUGGAUGCUGACUGAAGAGAUCGAGGUAGGCUACACCCCGAGUCUGAGAGUGGACACCUGGGGGAGACAACGGACUUUUUGCCGAAGACGUGGCUAAUGACGGAGUAUGAGUGUCUGUGUUUAUACCCAUUCCAAGUUCUUAUCCAGUGAUCCUGCAGAUCCACAUAACUGAGCGGUCUCUGGCAAGAGGAGAGCUAACUAGCGGGUGCUGGCAGCCAACCAGGAGAGCCGCUGCCUGGAGCCCAGAGCCAAUUAGAAGUCCUCCUGGGCGGAGGUUACAAAGUCAGACUGAACCCGGUGACUCAGCACACCCGAGCGAGCGUGAGUCGGGGCGGGUCGCUCCGGAGGGUGGAACUCGCCGUCCAAACCUGAGAGAGAACACGGCAAUAAAUUCUGCUGAGAAAAGAGGCAGUACAUUCUCU
Anguilla rostrata (American eel) is the source of this 772-nucleotide long non-coding RNA. RefSeq lists it as uncharacterized. The record is from RefSeq and is a predicted model, not a curated record. Lineage: Eukaryota; Metazoa; Chordata; Actinopteri; Anguilliformes; Anguillidae. The transcript has 3 exons.